RNAcentral lists this transfer RNA (63 nucleotides) under Neocrepidodera sp. BMNH 848121. RNAcentral describes it as "tRNA-Cys". Lineage: Eukaryota; Metazoa; Arthropoda; Insecta; Coleoptera; Chrysomelidae. The record is from RNAcentral.
AGUCUUAUAGUCAAUAAUGAUAUUAAAUUGCAAAUUUAAAGGAAAAUAAAAAUUUUAAGGCUU